GAUGAAGAACGCAGCGAAAUGCGAUAAGUAAUGCGAAUUGCAGAAUUCAGUGAAUCAUCGAAUCUUUGAACGCACAUUGCGCCCGCCAGUAUUCUGGCGGGCAUGCCUGUCUGAGCGUCGUUUCGACCCUCGCGCCCGGCUUCUGUCGGGGGCGGUGUUGGGGAUCGGCCAAACCCUUCAGUGGGAGGCCGGCCCCUAAAUUCAGUGGCGACCACGCUGUAGCCUCCCCUGCGUAGUACUAAAACCACCUCGCAGGCGGAGAGCGGUGCGGCCCGCCGUAAAACCCCCCAACUUUUACAAGGUCGACCUCAGAUCAGGUAGGAAUACCCGCUGAACUUAAGCAUAUCAAUAAGCGGAGGA
RNAcentral lists this unclassified non-coding RNA (360 nucleotides) under soil metagenome. Its description in RNAcentral is "partial contains 5.8S ribosomal RNA, internal transcribed spacer 2, and large subunit ribosomal RNA". The stretch from base 1 to 120 matches the Rfam family "5.8S ribosomal RNA", at positions 35 to 154 of the family's 154-position model. The record is from RNAcentral.